This 398-nucleotide non-coding RNA is filed under the name Cryptosporidium parvum. Lineage: Eukaryota; Apicomplexa; Conoidasida; Eucoccidiorida; Cryptosporidiidae. The record is from RNAcentral.
CAAAAAAAUGCAUGGCGGUUUUUUUAUCUGAAAGCUCGCAAGCUGAAAUGAUGAAGAAUGCCAUUUGUAUUGGAGCAGACGGUAUGUUAGAGUCAAUAUUAGAAUUACAGGAUGAGGAGAGAGAUAAAGAAGUAUCAUUGCUUUCAUUUAAUAAUUGACAGUAUUUAUCAAGUAGAUCAUGGGCAAAUUGUGUUUUAUUUAAGGAAAGUAAUACAAGCACAGCUCUAAGUAGAAAUAUAUCUUUUUCUGAUUUAUAACCUUUCUUGCUCCAUUCAAUAAGAAUGUUGGCAAAAAGUUCAGGAUUUUCAGUUAAAAUCACAUAAAGUUGAGCUUUGGAAAAAUUUUGAUGAACAAAAUAAUAAUUGGAAGCCCAUACAUGUAAUUUAUAUAUAUAAUCA